This 408-nucleotide ribosomal RNA is filed under the name uncultured bacterium. RNAcentral's name for it is "bacterial SSU rRNA". It matches the Rfam family "Bacterial small subunit ribosomal RNA", at positions 406 to 793 of the family's 1533-position model. The record is from RNAcentral.
AUGAGAAGGCCUUCGGGUUUGGGUAAAGCUCUUUUCGGUCNANGGGAAGAACACCGGCUCUAACACAUNGUCCGGNNGAAUGACGGUACCNNUGAAGAUAAGCACCGGCUAACUAACGCCUGCCAGCAGCCGCGGUAAUACGUAGGGUGCGAGCGUUAAUCGGAAUUACUGGGCGUAAAGCGUGCGCAGGCGGUUAUACAAGACAGGCGUGAAAUCCCCGGGCUUAACCUGGGAAUGGCGUCUGUGACUGUAUAGCUAGAGUGUGUCAGAGGGGGGUGGAAUUCCACGUGUAGCAGUGAAAUGCGUAGAUAUGUGGAGGAACACCAAUGGCGAAGGCAGCCCCCUGGGAUAACACUGACGCUCAUGCACGAAAGCGUGGGGAGCAAACAGGAUUAGAUACCCUGGUAG